AGAGUUUGAUCAUGGCUCAGGACGAACGCUGGCGGCGUGCUUAACACAUGCAAGUCGCGCGGUUCUCGAAGUUCGGGGUUGGGAGUUCGAACCUCGAACCUCGAACCUCGAACUUCGAACCUCGAACUUCGAGAAUAGCGGCGGACGGGUGAGUAACACGUGGAUAACCUACCCAUUAGACCAGGAUAACACCGGGAAACUGGUGCUAAUACCGGAUAAGCUCUUUAGAGUAAAAGCCUUAAAGAGGAAAGGGGAAACUCACUAAUGGAUGGGUCCGCGUCCUAUUAGCUAGUUGGUAGGGUAACGGCCUACCAAGGCGACGAUGGGUAGCCGGCCUGAGAGGGUGACCGGCCACACUGGGACUGAGACACGGCCCAGACUCCUACGGGAGGCAGCAGUGGGGAAUAUUCCGCAAUGGGGGAAACCCUGACGGAGCAAUGCCGCGUGAGUGAAGAAGGCCUUUGGGUCGUAAAACUCUGUCUUGAGGGACGAAAAAAAUGACGGUACCUCAAAAGAAAGCCCCGGCUAACUACGUGCCAGCAGCCGCGGUAAAACGUAGGGGGCGAGCGUUGUCCGGAAUUACUGGGCGUAAAGGGCGUGUAGGCGGCCUGUGUAGUCAAGUGGUGAAAACCCGGGGCUUAACUUCGGGAUGGCCCUUGAAACCAACAGGCUUGAGGACAGGAGAGGGGAGUGGAAUUUCCGGUGUAGCGGUGAAAUGCGUAGAUACCGGAAGGAACACCAGUGGCGAA
Molecule: ribosomal RNA, 749 nt
Filed under: bacterium enrichment culture clone IsoM-17
Lineage: Bacteria
Description: bacterial SSU rRNA
Rfam family: Bacterial small subunit ribosomal RNA
Source: RNAcentral